UUUCCGUAGGUGAACCUGCGGAAGGAUCAUUAAAGAAAUAGACCCCCCGAAAUUUAUUUUUAAAUUUGUUUUUAUUGAUAAAGGCGUGGGCGAGUCCAAACCAAACCCAAUGUGAACUGUAACCUCUUUUUCAAACGCGCCCAAGUCUCAGUGUAUUAAAUUUAUAACAAAAGUUGAAAACAACUUUCAGCAACGGAUCUCUUGGCUCUCACAUCGAUGAAGAACGCAGC
RNAcentral lists this unclassified non-coding RNA (230 nucleotides) under plant metagenome. RNAcentral's name for it is "partial contains small subunit ribosomal RNA, internal transcribed spacer 1, and 5.8S ribosomal RNA". The stretch from base 182 to 230 matches the Rfam family "5.8S ribosomal RNA", at positions 1 to 49 of the family's 154-position model. The record is from RNAcentral.